GCGCUCGCUCCGGGGUGCCCCGGGUGGUGCGGUUGAAGAAAAUCGCCCCGUCCGCUGCGCUGAGAUGGCCGAAUGGCCAAACCCGCUGUACUUGAUCCGGUUCGUACCGGCGUAAGAAGAGCCCGCCCGCUUGGG
This 135-nucleotide non-coding RNA is filed under the name Vitreoscilla filiformis. Its description in RNAcentral is "TPP sequence". It matches the Rfam family "TPP riboswitch aptamer (THI element)". Rfam says of the family: Vitamin B(1) in its active form thiamin pyrophosphate (TPP) is an essential coenzyme that is synthesised by coupling of pyrimidine and thiazole moieties in bacteria. The previously detected thiamin-regulatory element, thi box was extended, resulting in a new, highly conserved RNA secondary structure, the THI element, which is widely distributed in eubacteria and also occurs in some archaea. The record is from Rfam by way of RNAcentral. Lineage: Bacteria; Pseudomonadati; Pseudomonadota; Betaproteobacteria; Neisseriales; Neisseriaceae.